Molecule: long non-coding RNA, 683 nt
Filed under: Homo sapiens (human)
Lineage: Eukaryota; Metazoa; Chordata; Mammalia; Primates; Hominidae
Description: HSALNT0310188
Source: RNAcentral
UUUGUGGUUCUACUGACUGAAGUGAUCCUAUCUUGUGACUCAUGCAUGGCACGUCUAUAAGUCAAGCUGGAAUCCUCUAAAAUAAGUCACAUGGGAAAAAAUUCUGAUCUUAUUCUAGACGAAGAAUGAAAAGCCAGGAAGCUACAUAACCCAAGCCAUCAAUCCUUUCCCCAGCCCUCACAUUAGGAGCCCUGGGAAGACAUCCAGGGACCUAACAAAGGAACCAGGAGGAGUUUUACAUUUAAGGCAGACAACUAUAAAAUCACUGAAAAGGUUGAAACAGAACCAUUCAAGAGAGGGCCAGACUCAACCACAGAGAAAUCCUCAUUUUAGUUUUCACAGAAACUUGCAUUGAGGGUUUUCGUAUGUCUGACACGGAUGGAUCCACUAGACCCACCAACUGGUGGUUUCACUGCUCCUAUAACUUCACCCGGAAGCAACUCAGCACAAAAGGACAGCUUAGACCCCUUAUCAUUUCAUUUCCACUCCAACCAGUCAGCAGCAAGCACCCAUUUCCUAGCCACCCCACCAUUACCUCCAAACUGCCUUUGAAAAGCCUCUACCCUACAAGCCUUCAAUGAGAUUGAUUUAACUGUCUCCCGCAUGGCAUGGCUAGCCUCAUAUCAAUUAAACUCUUUAUUUACUGCAGUGCUGUGGUUUUUAUUUGUGCAGUGGGCAGGAAU